This is a long non-coding RNA of Hippocampus comes (tiger tail seahorse), 477 nucleotides long. RefSeq lists it as uncharacterized. Lineage: Eukaryota; Metazoa; Chordata; Actinopteri; Syngnathiformes; Syngnathidae. The transcript has 3 exons. The record is from RefSeq and is a predicted model, not a curated record.
UUAUGCUGGCAAAGUACUGACCUGGAAGAGGAGAGAACAGGAUUACGUUGAAUUGUUUUGGAACGCGCAUCGAAAGUACCCGCGACCAAAAAGCUCCCGGAACUUGAGCCAGAAAAACGGCGACGGUGACAACGGAUCCGCUCGGUUCCAGGAGCCCUUUAGUUCCCAAGCAAAAAUACGAAUAAAGAUGUACCUAUGAGCGGCACCGAGUCGGACGUGGCCGGCAUGAUCUCGGCCACCAGCAACAUGAAGACGCGAGAUCUUCUCUCCGGAGUCUGCGGGCAGCACAAAGAUGAGAAGCGUCAUGGAGGACAUCAGCAUGCAGGGGAUGAGCAGGUUGAGGGCGUAGUAGAGCGUCCUUCGCCGUAUGGUCACCAUGAAGGUCACGUCCGGGCUGACCUAUGAGGUCCCACUCGCCGUUGGGCAUGUAGCCCGAGAUGUCGGCCUCGUUCAUCUGCAGGUCCAGCAGCCAGCCGU